Molecule: ribosomal RNA, 441 nt
Filed under: uncultured bacterium
Lineage: Bacteria
Description: bacterial SSU rRNA
Rfam family: Bacterial small subunit ribosomal RNA
Source: RNAcentral
AAUAUUGCACAAUGGGGGAAACCCUGAUGCAGCCAUGCCGCGUGUGUGAAGAAGGCCUUCGGGUUGUAAAGCACUUUCAGUAGGGAGGAAGGUAGUGUAGUUAACACCUGCACUAUUUGACGUUACCUACAGAAGAAGCACCGGCUAACUCCGUGCCAGCAGCCGCGGUAAUACGGAGGGUGCGAGCGUUAAUCGGAAUUACUGGGCGUAAAGCGCAUGCAGGCGGCCUGUUAAGUCAGAUGUGAAAGCCCGGGGCUUAACCUCGGAAUUGCAUUUGAAACUGGCAGGCUAGAGUCUUGUAGAGGGGGUAGGAAUUUCAGGUGUAGCGGUGAAAUGCGUAGAGAUCUGAAGGAAUACCAGUGGCGAAGGCGGCCCCCUGGACAGAUACUGACACUCAGAUGCGAAAGCGUGGGGAGCAAACAGGAUUAGAUACCCUGGUAG